Molecule: microRNA precursor, 75 nt
Filed under: Manduca sexta (tobacco hornworm)
Lineage: Eukaryota; Metazoa; Arthropoda; Insecta; Lepidoptera; Sphingidae
Description: mir-970 microRNA precursor family
Rfam family: mir-970 microRNA precursor family
Source: Rfam by way of RNAcentral
CAGGCAGAGCCUUGCGUGUGUUCUUAUUGGUAGUGUGGCUGGUAAUCUAUCAUAAGACACACGCGGCUCUCUCUG